UCCUGCCGGACCUGACUGCUAUCGGAUUGAUACUAAGCCAUGCGAGUCUUUGUAGUAAUACAAGGCAGACGGCUCAGUAACACGUAGUCAACCUACCCUAUGGACGAGAAUAAUCUCGGGAAACUGAGCAUAAUUCUUGAUAGAUCAUAAUGCCUGGAAUGGUUUAUGGUUAAAAUGAUUCGUCGCCAUAGGAUGGGACUGCGGCCUAUCAGCUUGUUGGUGAGGUAAUGGCCCACCAAGGCGAUUACAGGUACGGGCUCUGAGAGGAGAAGCCCGGAGAUGGGUACUGAGACACGGACCCAGGCCCUAUGGGGCGCAGCAGGCGAGAAAACUUUGCAAUGUGCGAAAGCACGACAAGGUUAAUCCGAGUGAUUUCUGCUAAAGAAAUCUUUUGCCAGUCGUAAAACCGCUGGUGAAUAAGGGGUGGGCAAGUUCUGGUGUCAGCCGCCGCGGUAAAACCAGCACCUCAAGUGGUCAGGAUGAUUAUUGGGCCUAAAGCAUCCGUAGCCGGCUUUGUAAGUUUUCGGUUAAAUCCAUGUGCUCAACGCAUGGGCUGCCGAAAAUACUGCAUAGCUAGGGAGUGGGAGAGGUAGACGGUACUCAGUAGGUAGGGGUAAAAUCCUUUGAUCUAUUGAUGACCACCUGUGGCGAAGGCGGUCUACCAGAACACGUUCGACGGUGAGGGAUGAAAGCUGGGGGAGCAAACCGGAUUAGAUACCCGGGUAGUCCCAGCUGUAAACGAUGCAGACUAGAUGAUGCAUUGGCAUAAUAGCCAUUGCAGUGUCUCAGGGAAGCCGUUAAGUCUGCCGCCUGGGAAGUACGUACGCAAGUAUGAAACUUAAAGGAAUUGGCGGGGGAGCACCACAAGGGGUGAAGCCUGCGGUUCAAU
This 889-nucleotide ribosomal RNA is filed under the name uncultured marine group I thaumarchaeote. Its description in RNAcentral is "SSU rRNA". It matches the Rfam family "Archaeal small subunit ribosomal RNA", at positions 12 to 906 of the family's 1478-position model. The record is from RNAcentral. Lineage: Archaea; Thermoproteati; Nitrososphaerota.